UACGGAGGGUGCGAGCGUUGUCCGGAAUCACUGGGCGUAAAGGGCGCGUAGGCGGCUGGGGAAGUCGGCGGUGAAAGCCCGGAGCUCAACUCCGGGUCGGCCGUCGAGACUCCUCGGCUCGAGCUCACUAGAGGCAGAUGGAAUUCCGGGUGUAGCGGUGGAAUGCGUAGAGAUCCGGAAGAACACCGGUGGCGAAGGCGGUCUGCUGGGGUGAGGCUGACACUGAGGCGCGACAGCGUGGGGAGCAAGCAGG
Molecule: ribosomal RNA, 253 nt
Filed under: uncultured bacterium
Lineage: Bacteria
Description: partial 16S ribosomal RNA
Rfam family: Bacterial small subunit ribosomal RNA
Source: RNAcentral